Molecule: ribosomal RNA, 265 nt
Filed under: uncultured bacterium
Lineage: Bacteria
Description: partial 16S ribosomal RNA
Rfam family: Bacterial small subunit ribosomal RNA
Source: RNAcentral
GUCCACGCUGUAAACGAUGGGCACUAGGUGUCCGGGGUAUUGACCCCCUGGGUGCCGCAGCUAACGCAUUAAGUGCCCCGCCUGGGGAGUACGGUCGCAAGAUUAAAACUCAAAGGAAUUGACGGGGGCCCGCACAAGCGGUGGAGCAUGUGGUUCAAUUCGACGCAACGCGAAGAACCUUACCUGGGCUAGACAACGGCGGACCGUCCUAGAAAUAGGAUUUUCCCUUCGGGGACUGCCGGUUCAGGUGCUGCAUGGCUGUCGU